GUUUGUUAAAUGAAACAUGAAUUUUAAAUCACAUUUGUAUUAGCAGAUGUAAAUAUUGAAUUUAUUUUUAAUUGGUGUUUCAGCCAUCCUUUUGAUAUCUUAUUCAAUGAUUUGACUAGCAAAUAAAAAAUUUUCCUUAUUCUUUCAAUAGGUCACACAUAACAAUGAAUAAAGUUAACAUUGUUGUAUUGUCCAUCUAGAGAAAAGAACAAACUCGCCUGCAUUGUUAUUUAAAGACACAUAUUUACUGUUACUUGUUGUCAGAUGGUUCCAUGUGUAAUUAUACCCCCGCUUUAAAAAAGGGGGGGUAUACUGUUUUACCUCUGUAAUUAUACCCCCGCUUUAAAAAAGGGGGGGUAUACUGUUUUACCUCUGUCUGUCCGUCAGUCCGUCCGUUCAGUCGUCGUCCGUCCGUCCGUCCAGUCAGUCCGUCCAUGAAACUUUCGUCACAUUUUUCUCAGGACUACACAUCCACCCUUUCUGUAAUUUGGUAUCAACAUUUAUUAUGUCAGCCAUACCGUGUGAUGCGUUUCAAUUCAUCACUUGACAACUUCCUGUUUACCGAACACUUGUCUGAUUUUACACAUGAUAGCCAGUUGAAAAUUUUCGUCACAUUUUUCUCAGAACUACAAUACAAGGAUGUCUGAAAUUUGGUUUCAGGAUUUAUAUAAGUCAGCUAACCGGUGAUGCGUUUUCAGAUUCAUCACUCGACAACUUCCUGUUUACCCGAACACUUGUUGAUUUUACACAUGAUAGAGUUGAAAAUUUUCGUCACAUUUUUCUCAGGAACUACACAAGGAUUUCUGAAAUUUGUUUUCAGGAUUUUAUAAGUCAGCUAUACCGUUGAUGCGUUUUCAGAUUAUCAUCGACAACUUCCUUUUACGAACACUUUGCAUAUUUUUACACUAUUAAUAUUAUCCACUUGCGCGGGGUAUCAUCAGUGAGCAGUAGCUCGUUUUAUUGCUGAUAGACUGUCAAAAAUUGUUACGUAAAAUUUGCAGCCUCGUUUGUAUGAUUAUCUGGUAUCAAUAGAUUUGACAAAGUUCAAUUAAAGAAUAUUUGUAUAUAUGUUAAAAUUAAAACAGAUAUAACUAGAUAAAAGUGUGGUACAUUAACUUUCAUAACUGUGAAUUUAUUAUUGUUCAUGGGAUACCCGUGGAUUUUGGGUGUAUAGAUGAAAUAUAAGUUAAAUGUUCCGGUAGGCUUGUAAUGUAUGUAACCCUUUUAAAAAACAUGAUAUAAAAUAUCUAAAAAAAAUAUAACUUUCCUUCAAUUCACGAAUAUGGCAUCCAGGAAAAAAUAGAUUAAUCCACAUUACUACGUUGGAAGACCUAACUUAGGAUCAAAUCCUGUUGCAUUUGAUAACAUGUUACCCAGCAAAAAUAUUGAUUCCUUUAAUCUGUAAUCCAAAUGUUAGAGAAAAUUAUAAAUUUACAGGCCACAAUAUUAUAAUUUAAAAAAAAAAUCUGUGACAGCAGUAUUUUGCUUGUUAAAAUAUAAAAAUAUAACUCCACUGUAUGUAUUUCAUCCUCAUGUCAAUCAUUAAUUUUUACUGUUGCAAAUUGAUUUUUGUGCUGAUAUGUAAAAUGAGCCAGUAAAUGGAUGUCUGUAAUAUUUCAUAUGAAAUAACCUACAACCAUUCUUCCAUAAUUCCAUUUUAUAUGAUAGAUAUGCUGUAAAAUGAAGUUUUAUAUAAGGGAAACGUCAUCUGUGAUUGUGCAGUGAAUACCAGCAUGUUAUGUUUGUAUAACACAUGAAUUCACAGCCUUUGAAGACAUCUAAUGAACAAUAUAAUUUUCAGGCAUUAAAGUUUUAUUGUUAAAAUACAUUGUCAUAAUAAAUUGGCAGCUUUAUGAUUUCAUGUUAUACAAUUUGAUCAGGGUGUUUAGUGAUGUAUAGUAAAAUUAUUAAAGUACAUUAAUGACUAAACUCGUCGAAUAAAGUAUUUCAAAAUCAUAUGAUUGUUAUAAUUUUAUACUUUAUACAUGUACUGGGUAGAUUUGAACUUUCUUUAAACUGUAAGGUAUGUUAUAUCUUAUUAAUAUUCUGUCAGCCAUACCGUGUGAUGCGUUUUCAGAUUCAUCACUUGACAACUUCCUGUUUACCGAACACUUGUCUGAUUUUACACAUGAAGCCAAGUUGAAAUUUUCGUCACAUUUUUCUCAGGAACUACAAUACAAGGAUUUCUGAAAUUUGUUUCAGGAUUUAUAUAAGUCAGCUAUACGUGUGAUGCGUUUUCAGAUUCAUCACUCGACAACUUCCUGUUUACCGAACACUUGUAUGAUUUUACACAUGAUAGCCAAGUUGAAAAUUUUCGUCACAUUUUUCUCAGGAACUACAAUACAAGGAUUUCUGAAAUUUGGUUUCAGGAUUUAUAUAAGUCAGCUAUACCGUGUGAUGCGUUUUCAGAUUCAUCACUCGACAACUUCCUGUUUACCGAACACUUGCAUAUUUUUACACUAUUAAUAUUAUCCACUUGCGGCGGGGGUAUCAUCAGUGAGCAGUAGCUCGUUUGUAUUGCCUGAUAGACUGUCAAAAAUUGUUACGUAAAAUUUAGAUGCCUCGUUUGUAUGAUUAUCUGUGGUAUCAAUAGAUCUUGACAAAGUUCAAUUAAAAGAAUAUUUGUAUAUAUGUUAAAAUUGAAACAGAUAUAACUAGAUAAAAGUGUGGUACGUUAACUUUCAUAACUGUGAAUUCAUUAUUGUGCAUGGGAUACCGUGGAUUUUGGGUGUAUAGAUGAAAUAUAAGUUAAAUGUUCCGGUAGGCUUGUAUUUGUAUGUAACCCUUUUAAAAAACCAUGAUAUAAAAUAUCUAAAAAAAAAUAUAACUUUCCUUCAAUUCACGAAUAUGGGCAUCCAGGAAAAAUAGAUUAAUCCACAUUACUACGUUGGAAGACCAUACUUAGGAUCAAAUCUAGUUGCAUUUUGAUAACAUGUUACCCAGCAAAAAUAUUGAUUCCUUUAAUCCUGUAAUCCAAAUGUUAGAGAAAAUUAUAAAUUUACAGGCCACAAUAUUAUAAUUUAAAAAAAAAUCUGUGACAGCAGUAUUUUGCUUGUUAAAAUAUAAAAAUAUAACUCCACUGUAUGUAUUUCAUCCUCAUGUCAAUCAUUAAUUUUUACUGUUGCAAAUUGAUUUUUGUGCUGAUAUGUAAAAUGAGCCAGUAAAUGGAUGUCUGUAAUAUUUCAUAUUGAAAAUAACCUACAACCAUUCUUCCAUAAUUCCAUUUUUAUAUGAUAGAUAUGCUGUAAAAUGAAGUUUUAUAUAAGGGAAACGUCAUCUGUGAUUGUGCAGUGAAUACCAGCAUGUUAUGUUUGUAUAACACAUGAAUUCACAGCCUUUGAAGACAUCUAAUGAACAAUAUAAUUUUCAGGCAUUAAAGUUUUAUUGUUAAAAUACAUUGUCAUAAUAAAUUGGCAGCUUUAUGAUUUCAUGUUAUAACAUAUUUGAUCAGGUGUUUUAGUGAUGUAUAGUAAAAUUAUUAAAGUACAUUAAUGACUAAACUCGGUCGAUAAAAGUAUUUCAAAAUCAUAUGAUUGUUAUAAUUUUAUACUUUAUACAUGUACUGGGUAGAUUUGAACUUUCUUUAAACUGUAAGGUAUGUUAUAUCUUAUUAAUAUUCUAUGAGAUUUUUUGUAGAAGAAGGGUUCAAAUCGAAUGAUUAUUAUUUAAGGAAUUGCUUGGGGCUUCGGACAUCAGAGGGCAGUCCUUAUAGAAAACAUUGAAAGUGCAGACCCAGAUUUUGGCGGCUAGUUUCAGUCUAGAAAUUGUAAAUCAUCUUUUUUAAAGUAUACACAUGGAAAAAAGUAUUGCAACACCUUGAUUUUUUAAAAUUUGAAAAAUCAGCCUCUUUUUUUUUAUGAAAUAUAAUAAAAUAUGUGUAUAAUAUUAUUGAAACAUAGUUCACGAUAACAUUGGCAUUGACACGAACAAAAAAUGUUUAAAAAAAAUGAUUUAUAUAACCACAAUUUCAAUAACAAAAUGAAGUGUUUUUUGUACAAAAAAAACGCAUUUGACAAGUUUCACUGUAGUCGAACUUUACAAUGUCAGACAUUUCAAAAUUAAUCUUCAGAUGACUGUUCACAUCAUGGUUGAUCGUUAUACGCCAAAGAAUUAGUACUUUGUGCGCAGCCUCCAUUCAAACGGAUAACCGCAUCUUAACGUCUUCUGAUUCC
This 4172-nucleotide long non-coding RNA is filed under the name Mytilus galloprovincialis (Mediterranean mussel). The record is from RNAcentral. Lineage: Eukaryota; Metazoa; Mollusca; Bivalvia; Mytilida; Mytilidae.